UAGGGAAUCUUCGGCAAUGGACGAAAGUCUGACCGAGCAACGCCGCGUGAGUGAAGAAGGUUUUCGGAUCGUAAAACUCUGUUGGUGAGAAGAACGCUGGUGAGAGUGGAAAGCUCAUCAAGUGACGGUAACUACCCAGAAAGGGACGGCUAACUACGUGCAG
RNAcentral lists this ribosomal RNA (163 nucleotides) under uncultured bacterium. RNAcentral describes it as "partial 16S ribosomal RNA". It matches the Rfam family "Bacterial small subunit ribosomal RNA", at positions 355 to 510 of the family's 1533-position model. The record is from RNAcentral.